GGAAAACAGACUUGCCCAUCAUCUGGGAAAAGAAUGCACUAGAAUAUUAUUUUGUAUCAAUUCUUCACUUACAUGAACAUAACUGUUCUUCUUUUUAAAUUUUAUUUGUAGACAUAAAGAAGAAAUUACCUUUAAUCAUAACCCUUAAGAAUUUUAUGGUUUUUAAAGAUAUAUUAAGAUCCCUAGGACCAGGGAUUCUACCCGUUAUAAAGAAGUAUUUUGUCUGAAGGUCAGAGGAAGAAGAGAGGAUGAAAAUCUCUGAGAACUGACCCAAAGAGAGGUAGGAUCAGUGCUUUGGUGGUGAAGUGGGGAAAAUCCCUGCUUCCAAU
This 329-nucleotide long non-coding RNA is filed under the name Dasypus novemcinctus (nine-banded armadillo). RNAcentral describes it as "lncRNA (ENSDNOG00000051446.1)". Lineage: Eukaryota; Metazoa; Chordata; Mammalia; Cingulata; Dasypodidae. The record is from RNAcentral.